GUCCCCAUAGCUUAACGGAUAAAGUACAGCCCUCCGAAGGCUGGGAUCGAGGUUCAAUUCCUCGUGGGGACGCCG
This 75-nucleotide transfer RNA is filed under the name Candidatus Giovannonibacteria bacterium RIFCSPHIGHO2_01_FULL_48_47. Its description in RNAcentral is "tRNA-Arg". It matches the Rfam family "tRNA". Rfam says of the family: Transfer RNA (tRNA) molecules are approximately 80 nucleotides in length. Their secondary structure includes four short double-helical elements and three loops (D, anti-codon, and T loops). Further hydrogen bonds mediate the characteristic L-shaped molecular structure. tRNAs have two regions of fundamental functional importance: the anti-codon, which is responsible for specific mRNA codon recognition, and the 3' end, to which the tRNAs corresponding amino acid is attached (by aminoacyl-tRNA synthetases). tRNAs cope with the degeneracy of the genetic code in two manners: having more than one tRNA (with a specific anti-codon) for a particular amino acid; and 'wobble' base-pairing, i.e. permitting non-standard base-pairing at the 3rd anti-codon position. Lineage: Bacteria; Candidatus Giovannoniibacteriota. The record is from RNAcentral. RNAcentral also lists the same sequence under 5 other names.